UUUAUUUACAACAAUUUUGGCUUGAAAAUCAAAGUUAAUAUAUGAUAUAUGAUAUUUCUUAGUUAAAGGCCAUUAUGGAUUCAUUAAACAAAUAGAAAAAGCACUCAGCAAAUGUUAAGUGAACACUGCAGUUUUCAAGGAUGCAAUGAUGUCAGAGGCGGGCACCAUGCUAUGCAGGGGUUCUGUUUCCAUUUCAGCUUCAUCAUGUUAGGAGGUCCUUCCAACUCUUAUUGAGAGUAUUUUCCAGAGAACAAAAGGAAAACCAUACUGUUCAAGAAUACCUGUUUCCUUCAUAACUUUUCUGUUUCAGGAUUUCUUCUGGAGACAUGGUCAUUUGACCUGAAACUCAGAGUGUGCUUGAAGCCCUUUGAGGAGACAAGAACAGCAGAGUCAGCACUCCUGUCUCUGAAGAUGCAAAUUCUUGGGCUACUGUUCCCUGGACUGUCUGUUUUCUCUGGCUAUGGAGGGGUAGAGAGUGUGUCUAUAAAUGGAAGACCAUGGAUGCCCUUAUGUCUCAAAUGAGGAAAUUUUCUUCUUUGUAUCAGAAUUACUUUAGAUCAUCAGCUUUGAGAACCUAGCAUAAGUCAUUGUUUCAGAAGGUGUAGGAUUGCAGAACACUGAUUUCUUUCCCCUCUGAGGUCCUUGGUUGGCUUCAGAGUGCUCUUCAUUUUCAUCG
Ceratotherium simum simum (southern white rhinoceros) is the source of this 676-nucleotide non-coding RNA. Lineage: Eukaryota; Metazoa; Chordata; Mammalia; Perissodactyla; Rhinocerotidae. The record is from RefSeq and is a predicted model, not a curated record.